GAGGCAUCCAGGCCACUGCGGAUGAGCUGCCCACGUGUGAGUCUGGACUGUGCACAUAGGUGUGAAUGGGGGUCAGUGACUUGUCCUCUGCUGAUGCCCUGGACUUGGAUGAAGUCACUGGGGGACCUUAGAGAGAAGAGAGGAAACAGGCCUGAGCACUUCCAAGGUCUAACGUCAGGGAGAGAAGAGAGAUCCCGUAAACGACGGAGAGAAGUAGGAAAGAACCGGGAGAAAGAAGUCCCAAGGAAGGGUGAGCCGGGAAGGAUGACCACUGGGCGUCCCCGCAGUCAGCGAGAGGGAGGGAGAGCCUCUCCCCGGGGAUGUCUGGGUGCUGGAGAUGCACCGAUUAGAAAGGACAGCAGAGGUUGUGGGGUCCAGGGAAGAUUGUGUUGUUUUGUUUUAAUGGGUAGAUGUGUGUGUUUGGGGAGAUGGGACUUUUAAAUGGGAGGAAACAGAAUAUGUCUCAGGACUGACAGAAAGCAUCCAGGAGACAGGAGACUCUGAGAAAAUAGAACCAAGGAAAGAAUGCUGUGCUUUUACUGAGGAACUAGGGAAGAUGAGCUCCGGUGCCCUGCAGGAAGAGGUGCUCCCACCAGGCAUGCGCGGUCAGAAUCCUGCCCUGGGACUUUCUACCCAGCAGGUGGCGAGGAGGAGCCCGGUGCAGUGAUGUGGAUGGACUGGGUCAGACACUGCGCAUGCUCAGUGGCGGUUGCAUCAAUGGUGGCGCAGCUCAUGAUGGCGCCGGGCUCUACUGGCUGUAACCUGUAGUUUGGGCGAGGGAAUAUUCUUUCCUUUACAACCUGCCAUCUUCCACGUGAUCUGAAUCUCCUCUGACUAAGAUGAGACAAACGGAGCACAUAGAAGCCACACAACCUUCCUAAAGUCAUGCAGCUGGAGGCCACACAGCCAGAUGGCUCCAGAGGCCACGUCCUUAAUCAUGAUGUUGCUAUUUGGCAGAAACGUUGCUGCAGAAAGUCAGACCACAGAUGGGGACUGGUGGAAACCAAACAUAUGACUACAUCAGUCUACAAAAGCAUCAUGGUAUUCCCACAUAAUUCAGAGGCACGCCAGACCAUUCAGAACCUAAAGACCAGAGCAAUCACACAAGAUAAUGGAAGAUAAUGACAAAACAAUAUAAUGACAAGACAACAGAAGAUAAUGACAAAAUAUUCUGAGCGUCAUUGAUUUAGUCGCCCUUUAUUUCAUAAACAUCUUAUAAUUUUCUUCCCAUCUUUGUGUAUUAUUUGGUGUGAUUCUGUGUUUUUUCUUCCUAAUCUUUUAUUAAUUUAUUUUAAGUGACAAGUAAAUAUUUUAUAUAUUUAUGGUA
Non-coding RNA from Macaca mulatta (Rhesus monkey), 1327 nucleotides. Lineage: Eukaryota; Metazoa; Chordata; Mammalia; Primates; Cercopithecidae. The record is from RefSeq and is a predicted model, not a curated record.